RNAcentral lists this ribosomal RNA (2091 nucleotides) under Triticum aestivum (bread wheat). RNAcentral describes it as "eukaryotic LSU rRNA". The stretch from base 376 to 2091 matches the Rfam family "Eukaryotic large subunit ribosomal RNA", at positions 1 to 1728 of the family's 3401-position model. Lineage: Eukaryota; Viridiplantae; Streptophyta; Magnoliopsida; Poales; Poaceae. The record is from RNAcentral.
ACUCUCGGCAACGGAUAUCUCGGCUCUCGCAUCGAUGAAGAACGUAGAGAAAUGCGAUACCUGGUGUGAAUUGCAGAAUCCCGCAAACCAUCGAGUCUUUGAACGUAAGUUGCGCCCGAGGCCACUCGGCCGAGGGCACGCCUGCCUGGGCGUCACGCCAAAACACGCUCCCAACCCCCUCAUCGGGAAUCAGGAUGCGGCAUCUGGUCCCUCGUCUCGCAAGGGGCGGUGGACCGAAGAUCGGGCUGCCGGCGUACCGCGCCGGACACAGCGCAUGGUGGGCGUCCUCGCUUUAUCAACGCAGUGCAUCCGACGCGCAGCCGGCAUGAUGGCCUUAAAAUGACCCAGCAAACGAAGCACAUGUCGCUUCGACCGCGACCCCAGGUCAGGCGGGACUACCCGCUGAGUUUAAGCAUAUAAAUAAGCAAAGGAGAAGAAACUUACAAGGAUUCCCCUAGUAACGGCGAGCGAACCGGGAGCAGCCCAGCUUGAGAAUCGGGCGGCUGUGCCAUCCGAAUUGUAGUCUGGAGAGGCGUCCUCAGUGACGGACCAGGCCCAAGUCCCCUGGAAAGGGGCGCCUGGGAGGGUGAGAGCCCCGUCCGGCCCGGACCCUGUCACCCCAUGAGGCGCCGUCAACGAGUCGGGUUGUUUGGGAUUGCAGCCCAAAUCGGGCGGUAGACUCCGUCCAAGGCUAAAUACAGCGAGAGACCGAUAGCGAACAAGUAUCAUGAGGGAAAGAUGAAAAGGACUUUGAAAAGAGAGUCAAAGAGUGCUUGAAAUUGCCGGGAGGGAAGCGGAUGGGGGCCGGCGAUGCGCCCCGGCCAUAUGCGGAACGGCUCUUGCUGGUCCGCCGCUCGGCUCGGGGUGUGGACUGUUGUCGGCCGCGCCAGCGGCCAAAGCCCGGGGGCCCUAGGUGCCCCCAGUGGCCGUCGUCGGCACGGCCAGUACCCGCGCGCCGAAAGGCGUGUCCCUCGGGGCACUGCGCUGCAACGGCCUGCGGGCUCCCCAUCCGACCCGUCUUGAAACACGGACCGAGGAGUCUGACACGCGUGCGAGUCGAUGGGUUCUGAAACCUCGGAUGCGCAAGUAAGCUGACGAGCGGGAGGCCCUCACGGGCCGCACCGCUGGCUGACCCUGAUCUUCUGUGAAGGGUUCGAGUUGUAGCACGCCUGUCGGGACCCGAAAGAUGGUGAACUAUGCCUGAACGGGGCAAAGCCAGAGGAAACUCUAGUGGAGGCUCGAAGCGAUACUGACGUGCAAAUCGUUCGUCUGACUUGGGUAUAGGGGCGAAAGACUAAUCGAACCAUCUAGUAGCUGGUUCCCUCCGAAGUUUCCCUCAGGAUAGCUGGAGCCCAUUACGAGUUCUGUCAGGUAAAGCCAAUGAUUAGAGGCAUCGGGGACGCAACGUCCUCGACCUAUUCUCAAACUUUAAAUAGGUAGGAUGGCGCGGCUGCUUCGGUGAGCCGUGCCACGGAAUCGGGUGCUCCAUGUGGGCCAUUUUUGGUAAGCAGAACUGGCGAUGCGGGAUGAACCGGAAGCCGGGUUACGGUGCCCAGCUGCGCGCUAACCUAGAACCCACAAAGGGUGUUGGUCGAUUAAGACAGCAGGACGGUGGUCAUGGAUGUCGGAAUCCGCUAAGGAGUGUGUAACAACUCACCUGCCGAAUCAACUAGCCCCUAAAAUGGAUGGCGCUGAAGCGCGCGACCCACACCCAGCCAUCUGGGCGAGUGCCAUGCCCCGAUGAGUAGGAGGGCACGGCGGCCGCUGCAAAACCCGGGGCGCGAGCCCGGGCGGAGCGGCCGUCGGUGCAGAUCUUGGUGGUAGUAGCAAAUAUUCAAAUGAGAACUUUGAAGGCCGAAGAGGAGAAAGGUUCCAUGUGAACGUUACUUGCACAUGGGUAAGCCGCUCCUAAGGGACUGGGUAACCCCGGCAGAUAGCGCGAUCACGGGCAUCCGCCGAAAGGGAAUCAGGUUAAGAUUUCCCGAGCCGGGAUGUGGCGGUUGACGGCGACGUUAGGAAGUGCGGAGACGCCGGCGGGGGCCUCGGGAAGAGUUAUCUUUUCUGCUUAACGGCCUGCCAACCCUGGAAACG